AGAGUUUGAUCGUGGCUCAGAACGAACGCUGACGGCGUGCCUAACACAUGCAAGUCGAGCGCGAAAAGGGCAACCUGAGUAGAGCGGCGCACGGGUGCGUAACACGUGGGUAAUCUGCCUUAGAGUCGAGGAUAACCUUCCGAAAGGUUGGCUAAUACUCGGUAAGCUUACGGUGUCUUCGGACGCUGUGGGAAAAGUAGGCCUCUGUUUACAAGCUUACGCUCCAAGAUGAGCCCGCGGCCCAUCAGCUAGUUGGCGGGGUAACGGCCCACCGAGGCAACGACGGGUAGCUGGUCUGAGAGGACGAUCAGCCACACUGGAACUGAGACACGGUCCAGACUCCUACGGGAGGCAGCAGUGGGGAAUUUUCCACAAUGGGCGAAAGCCUGAUGGAGCAACGCCGCGUGUGUGAUGAAGGUUUUCGGAUCGUAAAGCACUUUCGACCGGGACGAAAAACCUCUGGCUAACAUCCAGGGGCCUGACGGUACCGGGAGAAGAAGCACCGGCUAACUCUGUGCCAGCAGCCGCGGUAAUACAGAGGGUGCAAGCGUUGUUCGGAAUUAUUGGGCGUAAAGCGCGUGUAGGCGGCUUGGCAAGUCAGAUGUGAAAGCCCUCGGCUUAACCGAGGAAGUGCGUCUGAAACUGCUGAGCUUGAGUCUCGGAGAGGAUGGCGGAAUUCCGCAAGUAGAGGUGAAAUUCGUAGAUAUGCGGAGGAACACCGGUGGCGAAGGCGGCCAUCUGGACGAGUACUGACGCUGAGACGCGAAAGCGUGGGGAGCAAACAGGAUUAGAUACCCUGGUAGUCCACGCUGUAAACGAUGAGAACUAGGUGUCGUGGGUGUUGACCCCCGCGGUGCCGCAGCUAACGCAUUAAGUUCUCCGCCUGGGAAGUACGGCCGCAAGGCUAAAACUCAAAAGAAUUGACGG
Molecule: ribosomal RNA, 927 nt
Filed under: uncultured bacterium
Lineage: Bacteria
Description: bacterial SSU rRNA
Rfam family: Bacterial small subunit ribosomal RNA
Source: RNAcentral